AUACUUGCCUGGCAGGGGAGAUCCAGUGAGGCUCGGCCAUUGCACUCCUACAAUGCUGGCCCCCCCUGCGAAUUUCCCAAAUGUGGGAAUCACAACUGCAUAAUUUGUGGUAGUUGGGGACUGCUUGCGUCUAGCCUGGC
RNAcentral lists this small nuclear RNA (140 nucleotides) under Salmo trutta (river trout). RNAcentral describes it as "U1 spliceosomal RNA (ENSSTUG00000005955.1)". It matches the Rfam family "U1 spliceosomal RNA". From Rfam's summary of the family: U1 is a small nuclear RNA (snRNA) component of the spliceosome (involved in pre-mRNA splicing). Its 5' end forms complementary base pairs with the 5' splice junction, thus defining the 5' donor site of an intron. Lineage: Eukaryota; Metazoa; Chordata; Actinopteri; Salmoniformes; Salmonidae. The record is from RNAcentral.